GGGAAGGUGGCUCAGUGGUAGAGUGCUUGCUUUGCAUGCAUGAGGCCUUGGGUUCGAUUCCUCAGCACCCCA
This 72-nucleotide transfer RNA is filed under the name Dipodomys ordii (Ord's kangaroo rat). It matches the Rfam family "tRNA". From Rfam's summary of the family: Transfer RNA (tRNA) molecules are approximately 80 nucleotides in length. Their secondary structure includes four short double-helical elements and three loops (D, anti-codon, and T loops). The record is from Rfam by way of RNAcentral. Lineage: Eukaryota; Metazoa; Chordata; Mammalia; Rodentia; Heteromyidae.